CGCUCAUUUUCUCCCCCUUCUCCUUCAUUUUCCUCUCAGUCUCCCUCGUUCUCCCUUCAUACACCUUCAAUUUCCCGCAAUGUCCCCCAUUUUCCCCACAGUUUCUCUCAUUUUCCCUCAUCAGCCCUCAUUUUCUCCCCUUUCUCCUUCAUUUUCCUUUCAGUCUCCCUCAUUCUCCCCUCACACACCUUCAGUUUCCCUCAGGGUCCACCAUUUCCCCUCAAUGUCCCCCAUUUUCCCUUAGCGUCCCCCUUUUUCCCUCAGCGUCCCUCAUUUCCCCUCAAUAGCACUCAUUUUCUCCCCUUUCUCCUUCAUUUUCCUCUCAGUCUCCCUUGUUCUCCCUUCAUACACCUUCAAUUUCCUGCAGUGUCCCCCAUUUUCCCCACAGUUUCUCUCAUUUUCCCUCAUCAGCCCUCAUUUUCUCCCCUUUCUCCUUCAUUUUCCUCUCGGUCUCCCUCAUUCUUCCCUCACGCACCUUCAGUUUCCCCCACUCUCCCCCAUUUUCCUUCUGUGUCCCCCAUUUUCCCUCACUUUUUUCUCAUUUUCCCUCAGCGUCCCCCAUUUUCCCUCAAUAGCACUCAUUUUCUCCCCUUUCCCCUUCAUUUUCCUCUCGGUCUCCCUCGCUCCCCCCUCGCACGCCUUCAUUUUCCCUCAGUGUCCCCCGUUCCCCUCGGCCGCUCCCCCCGCCCCAUCUCCCUCUCUUCCCCCCUUUGUCCCUCCUCCUUCCCCCACACACCUUCAUUUCCCCUCCUCCCCCGGCUCCCCCCAUUUCUCCCGCUUUCCCCCCGGCCUCCCUCGUCCCCCGGCGGCCGGCCCCGCGGGUCGCCCUGCCCGGGGCUCGCCGCGGUAGAGACCGGGGGGAAGCGAGGGGUGCUCGCCGCGGAGCGCCUCGGCGGCGAACGAUAUCUCGGGUUUGGCCCGGAGCGAGCGGAUUUGCAAUGCAAAUGCUCCGAGGGAUUCCUUCAGAGAGGCAGCGGUUAUCGGCCGCGGGCUCAGCUGGGUGACGAGCCCGGAGGUCACCGUCGUGGCUGA
RNAcentral lists this long non-coding RNA (1032 nucleotides) under Anser brachyrhynchus (Pink-footed goose). Its description in RNAcentral is "lncRNA (ENSABRG00000013348.1)". Lineage: Eukaryota; Metazoa; Chordata; Aves; Anseriformes; Anatidae. The record is from RNAcentral.